Molecule: ribosomal RNA, 426 nt
Filed under: uncultured eukaryote
Lineage: Eukaryota
Description: bacterial SSU rRNA
Rfam family: Eukaryotic small subunit ribosomal RNA
Source: RNAcentral
CAAUAGCGUAUAUUAAAGUUGUUGCAGUUAAAAAGCUUGUAGUUGGAUUUCUGGCAGGAGCGACCGGUCAUGCACUAUGUGCGUGAACUUGUGUUGUCUCUGGCCAUCCUUGGGGAGAUCCUGUUUGGCAUUAAGUUGUCGGGCAGGGGAUACCCAUCGUUUACUGUGAAAAAUUAGAGUGUUUAAAGCAGGCUUAUGCCGUUGAAUAUAUUAGCAUGGAAUAAUAAUCUAGGACUUCGGUUCUAUUUUGUUGGUUUCUAGUACUGAAGUAAUGAUUGAUAGGGAUAGUUGGGGGUGGCUAGUAUUGGCCGGCCAGAGGUGAAAUUCUUGGAUUCGGUCAAGACUAACUUAUGCGAAAGCAUUCACCAAGGAUGUCUUCUUUAAUCAAGAACGAAAGUUGGGGGAUCGAAGACGAUCAGAUACCAU